GAUGAACGCUGGCGGCGUGCCUAAUACAUGCAAGUCGAGCGAACGGACGAGAAGCUUGCUUCUCUGAUGUUAGCGGCGGACGGGUGAGUAAUACGUGGAUAACCUACCUAUAAGACUGGGAUAACUUCGGGAAACCGGAGCUAAUACCGGACGAUAUUUUGAACCGCAUGGUUCAAAAGUGAAAGACGGUCUUGCUGACACUUAUAGAUGGAACCGCGCUGCAUUAGCUAGUUGGUAAGGUAACGGCUUACCAAGGCAACGAUGCAUAGCCGACCUGAGAGGGUGAUCGGCCACACUGGAACUGAGACACGGUCCAGACUCCUACGGGAGGCAGCAGUAGGGAAUCUUCCGCAAUGGGCGAAAGCCUGACGGAGCCACGCCGCGUGGGUGAUGAAGGUCUUCGGAUCGUAAAACUCUGUUAUUAGGGAAGAACAUAUAUGUAAGUAACUGUGCACAUCUUGACGGUACCUAAUCAGAAAGCCACGGCUAACUACGUG
RNAcentral lists this ribosomal RNA (497 nucleotides) under uncultured bacterium. Its description in RNAcentral is "partial 16S ribosomal RNA". It matches the Rfam family "Bacterial small subunit ribosomal RNA", at positions 28 to 507 of the family's 1533-position model. The record is from RNAcentral.